RNAcentral lists this ribosomal RNA (379 nucleotides) under uncultured eukaryote. RNAcentral's name for it is "SSU rRNA". It matches the Rfam family "Eukaryotic small subunit ribosomal RNA", at positions 587 to 972 of the family's 1831-position model. The record is from RNAcentral.
AGCUCCAAUAGCGUAUAUUAAAGUUGUUGCGGUUAAAAGCUCGUAGUUGGAUUUCUGUUGAGGUCGGCCGGUCCCUACUUCGUAGGCGUAUCUGGUUCAGCCUUGGCAUCCUCCUAGGGAACGGCACUGCUCUUAACUGAGUGGUCCGGUAUCUAGGACUUUUACUUUGAGGAAAUUAGAGUGUUUACGGCAGGCAAUCGCCUUGAAUAUGUUAGCAUGGAAUAAUAAUAUAGGACCUUGGUUCUAUUUUGUUGGUUUCUAGGACUAAGGUAAUGAUUAAUAGGGAUAUUUGGGGGCAUUCGUAUUAACCGGUCAGAGGUGGAAUUCUUGGAUUCGGUUACGACGAACUACUGCGAAAGCAUUUGCCAAGGAUGUUUCA